This 1088-nucleotide long non-coding RNA is filed under the name Heterocephalus glaber (naked mole-rat). RNAcentral describes it as "lncRNA (ENSHGLG00000049139.1)". Lineage: Eukaryota; Metazoa; Chordata; Mammalia; Rodentia; Bathyergidae. The record is from RNAcentral.
GGGCCCUUCUGUCACCUGUGCACGCGCGCUCCUGCGUGAAUAUUGUCAUCGAGUGGCAUGGGCACCACUGACCACCUCCUGCCAUUUCAGUCAAGAAACAGGUAAGUGUGGUGCCACCUUACAAAAUACCUUUUGGACUUCAGAGUUGUGGAUAAGGGCUUGUGGGAGGUGGUCAGGGUGACUUCUCCAGGUGUUUAGCUUAAGCAGGUGAGUGGGUGAUGAUGAUGUGGAACAACCUAGGGAACAGUUUUAGGGAGACAGUUGUUUCCUCCAGGUUGCUUUGGGGACAGCUAGCUAUAUAGCCAGAAUGUGAGAGGACCAGGAACAGAGAGAGGUGAGCAGGGAUUGGAGGAGACUGUUUUGAAGCCGUUCUGUAAACAGGACGUCCUGUGGGCCGAGAAGAGAUCAGGGGCCUGCAGAUGCCUUGAACUGAGAAAGCCUUCCAGAGCUGCACCUCGGCUUCAUGCUCCCCGCAGACCCAUUGUGCCCUGCUCCUUUGCUGCCUGCAGACACAACCGGAGACCUCGGCUCAAGUAAACCUGACUCCUUGAUGGAGUCACCACCUAGUACCUAGCAUUUCUAACUGUCCACCCACUCUUUAAACUCUCCUCCCGGAAGAAGCAGCAGGGGCCUUGACUUGUUACCUGGGAGCAUAGUGACUCUCUGGGCUUGAUUAUCCUGAAGUUCAUUAUUUGUUGUUUAGGGCCUUUUUUGUGUGUGUGUUUGAUACUGGGGAUAGAACUUGAGACCUUGUGCUUUCGAGGCAGCCGCUGGAACCACUAAGCUAAAUCCCUGGGCCUUUAUUUUAACCCCAUGAAUCUUAUAGUUGGGGGAGGAGAGAUAUUGUGCCCUAUUCAGAGGUAUGUACUGUAACCACAUCUACUCUGUCCAGCACAGCACAAUCCACCUGUGUGAUUCUAACACAGACAGAAUGGUGACACAGCGGUUUGUGCUAUGCUUGUAUUCAAGUGGAAGAUGAUGAAAGCGAGAACCAAGGGAAAGUUCAAAGGAAUCAGACCAAGAGGUUAUUGUGUUGGUGUCCAGGAAGAGAGGGAAUGGUAGAAAGGCAUUGCCUUCUUAAAUAAACA